AAUCCCUGUGGCAAACGGGAGUGGGAGGGCACCAGGAAGCUGAUGAAGGCCACGAGGAUCAGAGCAGGGCCUUUGAAGAAGGCGACACUCGUGCUUUCAUUCUAUUGUCUUUUCAGCUGUCCAAGACAGAAGCCAAAGAAGGGAGAGAAGUGAAGGCAUGGAAGGACCUUUCCCAAAUAUCACUGGACCCCCACUUGUGUUAUGACCACCUAUACCGGGGUGCUCUCAAAAGCAGCUGGCUGUAUUAUAAUCACCUUGAAGGAGGCUCCCCAGGGGGCAGAGAUAGUGCCUGUUCUACCACUGUGUUUUCCAGCACACAGCACUGGGCCUGGCACGGAGCACACCCCCAAUCAGUAUGAGUGAAAGAAUGGGGCCUGAACCCUCCCCGCCACGCUUCCCUUCCCUCUCCAACAGGCAGCCAGCCCCUCAGCACAGUUAGAAACCACAGCAAUAAAGUGGGCUCAGAGGGUGUCACAGGGACCUGUGAAAACCCUUCACAAAUGACUUUUUUUUGGUCUUACCCUCCCAACUGCCUAGCCCCAGGCAAGUACCAGCAAACCAGUUAGUUAAAUGACUCAUUGACUUGCUAAUGAGAUUGCUCUUGGGCCAGUUAAAGAAGACAAUCAAAAGAACUGUCCCCGGGAGGGAGAAAACAAGCUUGGCAAAAUGCAGAAGCAUGCUGAAGCCAGGUGAUUGGUUCUAGGAGUGCAUUAUAAUAUUCUCUUUUGUGGAUAUUUGCAAACGUUCUUAAUAAACACUGAAAUUUAAAAAAUUAAACACAGGAAAAA
This is a long non-coding RNA of Lontra canadensis (Northern American river otter), 788 nucleotides long. RefSeq lists it as uncharacterized. The record is from RefSeq and is a predicted model, not a curated record. The transcript has 2 exons. NCBI's taxonomy places the organism in Eukaryota, Metazoa, Chordata, Mammalia, Carnivora, Mustelidae.